Molecule: ribosomal RNA, 514 nt
Filed under: uncultured bacterium
Lineage: Bacteria
Description: partial 16S ribosomal RNA
Rfam family: Bacterial small subunit ribosomal RNA
Source: RNAcentral
GAUGAACGCUGGCGGCGUGCCUAAUACAUGCAAGUCGAGCGAACAGAUGAGAAGCUUGCUUCUCUGAUGUUAGCGGCGGACGGGUGAGUAACACGUGGGUAACCUACCUAUAAGACUGGGAUAACUCCGGGAAACCGGGGCUAAUACCGGAUAAUAUGUUGAACCGCAUGGUUCAAUAGUGAAAGACGGUUUCGGAUGUCACUUACAGAUGGACCCGCGCCGGAUUAGCUAGUUGGUAAGGUAACGGCUUACCAAGGCGACGAUACGUAGCCGACCUGAGAGGGUGAUCGGCCACACUGGAACUGAGACACGGUCCAGACUCCUACGGGAGGCAGCAGUAGGGAAUCUUCCGCAAUGGGCGAAAGCCUGACGGAGCAACGCCGCGUGAGUGAUGAAGGUCUUCGGAUCGUAAAACUCUGUUGUUAGGGAAGAACAAAUUUGUUAGUAACUGAACAAGUCUUGACGGUACCUAACCAGAAAGCCACGGCUAACUACGUGCCAGCCGCCGCAGUAA